ACAACAUUAAGGCACUUAUGGUCUCGACAAUUAGAGUUAGGACUUAACUACCUAGAGUGUUAUUUUGGUGUUUAAGAAAAUAACUGACUGGUGAACCUUAACACCCCAUUUAUUAUACCCCAUCGAGGCUAAACAGAGCUGGUAGCAGUGGAGAGCCAGCCAUUUCUGAGAAAUUUGAAAACCAUAGUAAUGAGACCGUAAACAGGCAGACAAAUCAAAACUGUGUACUGUACAGACAAUAGGAAACUGCUUCAACAUUUAUGAAAUAUAAGAAGUUUGAUAUUUAAUGAUUUUGAAAGUGUUAUCUUGAAACUGUUCCAUCAUUUGUGUGCAUAAAGCUUAAGACAUACAGAGAACACAAGAAAGUGUAAACUGGAACAACAGCUAUUAUUGGAAGAAAUAGUCAAGAGUGAAUUUUCCUGUAAAGGUUCAAAGGCUAACACACCAUUAGAGACAGUUUGUGAUCUUCUGGGUGUGUUUGUCUUGCUCAGCGGUGCUACACUAUUUAGGUGAGUCUGUCUGUCGUGGGAGAGUCAUACUGUAGAGUCGUCAUACCGCAGAGUCGUCAUACCGCAGAGUCGUCAUACCGUAGAGUCGUCAUUCCGUAGAGUCGUCAUACCGCAGAGUCAGUCAUACCGUAGAGUCGUCAUAUUGUAAGUGUGGCUCUUUAUCUUGCUA
Long non-coding RNA from Homarus americanus (American lobster), 678 nucleotides. RefSeq lists it as uncharacterized. NCBI's taxonomy places the organism in Eukaryota, Metazoa, Arthropoda, Malacostraca, Decapoda, Nephropidae. The transcript is spliced from 3 exons. The record is from RefSeq and is a predicted model, not a curated record.